Molecule: ribosomal RNA, 109 nt
Filed under: Cottoperca gobio
Lineage: Eukaryota; Metazoa; Chordata; Actinopteri; Perciformes; Bovichtidae
Source: RNAcentral
UAUUACAGCCAUACCACACUGACAACGCCUGAUCUCGGAAGCUAAGCAGAGUUGGGCUGGGUCAGUACUUGGAUGGGUGACCGCCUGGGAAUACCCCGUGCUGUAAGCA